AACUUUCAACAAUGGAUCUCUUGGUUCUCGCAUCGAUGAAGAACGCAGCCCCCCGUGCC
This 59-nucleotide ribosomal RNA is filed under the name uncultured fungus. RNAcentral's name for it is "partial 5.8S ribosomal RNA". It matches the Rfam family "5.8S ribosomal RNA", at positions 1 to 59 of the family's 154-position model. From Rfam's summary of the family: 5.8S ribosomal RNA (5.8S rRNA) is a component of the large subunit of the eukaryotic ribosome. It is transcribed by RNA polymerase I as part of the 45S precursor that also contains 18S and 28S rRNA. Lineage: Eukaryota; Fungi. The record is from RNAcentral.